CUGAGCUCGCCGGGGCCCGGCCGGCGGCUCAGGCCUGCCGGGCCCCGGCGGAUGAUCCCCGCCGGGUCAGCC
This 72-nucleotide transfer RNA is filed under the name Streptomyces turgidiscabies. RNAcentral's name for it is "tRNA-Leu". Lineage: Bacteria; Bacillati; Actinomycetota; Actinomycetes; Kitasatosporales; Streptomycetaceae. The record is from RNAcentral.